RNAcentral lists this non-coding RNA (22 nucleotides) under Arabidopsis thaliana (thale cress). Lineage: Eukaryota; Viridiplantae; Streptophyta; Magnoliopsida; Brassicales; Brassicaceae. The record is from RNAcentral.
UACAUGAUGGUAAGAUGCUUGU